Molecule: ribosomal RNA, 460 nt
Filed under: uncultured bacterium
Lineage: Bacteria
Description: partial 16S ribosomal RNA
Rfam family: Bacterial small subunit ribosomal RNA
Source: RNAcentral
CCUACGGGUGACAGCAGUGAGGAAUAUUGGUCAAUGGACGAGAGUCUGAACCAGCCAAGUAGCGUGAAGGAUGACUGCCCUAUGGGUUGUAAACUUCUUUUAUAUGGGAAUAAAACGUUCCACGUGUGGGAUUUUGUAUGUACCAUAUGAAUAAGGAUCGGCUAACUCCGUGCCAGCAGCCGCGGUAAUACGGAGGGUCCGAGCGUUAUCCGGAUUUAUUGGGUUUAAAGGGAGCGUAGGUGGAUUGUUAAGUCAGUUGUGAAAGUUUGCGGCUCAACCGUAAAAUUGCAGUUGAAACUGGCAGUCUUGAGUACAGUAGAGGUGAGCGGAAUUCGUGGUGUAGCGGUGAAAUGCUUAGAUAUCACGAAGAACUCCGAUGGCGAAGGCAGUUCACUGGACUGCAACUGACACUGAGGCUCGAAAGUGUGGGUAUCAAACAGGAUUAGAUACCCCAGUAGUC